AUGUGAACAGGCAACCACUUAUGUGUUUUGAUUUUGCUAGCUGGUUGCGGUUCUUGUGUAAUUUCAAACCCAAUACUAAAAUACAGUAUCAUUCAUUGUGGUGAAUAGUUGGACCAGACAUAAAGACCAGAGAUGUCUGACGAGGAUGAAUCUCCGCUGGUGAAGAAGACCAGGAUUUUCUAUGGCAGUCUGGAGGAGAAGGAGAGGGAGAGGCUGGGACGAGAGUCCUCUGGGUCCCUUGAUCUUGAGGAACACGUGAGUGAGUGCCAGUCUGAGGUAUUGGCUGACUUUGAGUGCAGAAAGCGAGCAAGAUAGUCACAGUAUCCAAUGACGAUGCAGAUGUAACCGAUGUGAAAUAUCCUUCUGCCAAUUUAGCCCGAACUCCAAAAUGCUUGUGACUGCCUCUUGGAGUGGCCUGUGUAAACUGUGGAAUGUUCGACUGCACCCUUAUCCGUACUCUUCGGGCUUAGAAGAAUAUCUUAUUUUUCACAAUCAUUUGAUUGAUUUGAUUGCAAGAAUGUUAGCUACAUGAAGUAGCUAAGAGAACAUUCAAUUGUUAUUUUGUUUUUAACCUUUAUUUAACUAGGCAAG
Salvelinus namaycush (lake trout) is the source of this 591-nucleotide long non-coding RNA. RefSeq lists it as uncharacterized. The transcript has 4 exons. NCBI's taxonomy places the organism in Eukaryota, Metazoa, Chordata, Actinopteri, Salmoniformes, Salmonidae. The record is from RefSeq and is a predicted model, not a curated record.